This 468-nucleotide ribosomal RNA is filed under the name uncultured bacterium. RNAcentral's name for it is "partial 16S ribosomal RNA". It matches the Rfam family "Bacterial small subunit ribosomal RNA", at positions 28 to 507 of the family's 1533-position model. The record is from RNAcentral.
GACGAACGCUGGCGGCGUGCUUAACACAUGCAAGUCGAACGGAAAGGCCCUGCUUUUGUGGCGUGCUCGAUUGGCGAACGGGUGAGUAACACGUGAGUAACCUGCCCUUGACUUUGUGAUAACUUCAGGAAACUGGGGCUCUUACCGGAUAGGAGCUCCUGCUCCAUGGUGGGGGUUGGUAAGUUUCGGCGGUUCGGGAUGGUCUCGCGGCUUAUCAGCUUGUUGGUGGGGUAGGGGCUUACCAAGGGUUUGACGGGUAGCCGGCCUGGGAGGGGGGCCGGCCACAAGGGGCCUGAGGGAGGGACCAGAGGGGUACGGGAGGCAGUGGGGGAAAGCAUGGCGGAACAGGGGGACGUGUGAGACGACAACGCUGGGUUCGGAAUGCCGGGCUACGAGUUGAAAACCGAUGUGGAAGGAGACGAAGAGGUAGUGACGGUACCGGGUAAGGAAGCAACGGCUAACUACGUG